GUACUCGAGCGGCGAACGGGUGAGUAACACGUGAGUAACCUGCCCCAGGCUUUGGGAUAACCCCGGGAAACCGGGGCUAAUACCGGAUAUGACCAUCUGUCGCAUGGUGGGUGGUGGAAAGAUUUUUUGGCUUGGGAUGGGCUCGCGGCCUAUCAGCUUGUUGGUGGGGUGAUGGCCUACCAAGGCGGCGACGGGUAGCCGGCCUGAGAGGGCGACCGGCCACACUGGGACUGAGACACGGCCCAGACUCCUACGGGAGGCAGCAGUGGGGAAUCUUGCACAAUGGGCGGAAGCCUGAUGCAGCGACGCCGCGUGAGGGAUGACGGCCUUCGGGUUGUAAACCUCUUUCAGCAGGGACGAAGCGUUUGUGACGGUACCUGCAGAAGAAGCGCCGGCCAACUACGUGCCAGCAGCCGCGGUAAGACGUAGGGCGCAAGCGUUGUCCGGAUUUAUUGGGCGUAAAGAGCUCGUAGGCGGCUUGUCGCGUCGACUGUGAAAACCCGUGGCUCAACUGCGGGCUUGCAGUCGAUACGGGCAGGCUAGAGUUCGGUAGGGGAGACUGGAAUUCCUGGUGUAGCGGUGAAAUGCGCAGAUAUCAGGAGGAACACCGGUGGCGAAAGGCGGGUCUCUGGGCCGAUA
This 639-nucleotide ribosomal RNA is filed under the name Salinispora sp. SPM3-7. RNAcentral describes it as "bacterial SSU rRNA". It matches the Rfam family "Bacterial small subunit ribosomal RNA", at positions 87 to 739 of the family's 1533-position model. Lineage: Bacteria; Bacillati; Actinomycetota; Actinomycetes; Micromonosporales; Micromonosporaceae. The record is from RNAcentral.